AUUGAACGCUGGCGGCAGGCUUAACACAUGCAAGUCGAACGAGUGGCGGACGGGUGAGUAAUGCUUGGGAAUCUGGCUUAUGGAGGGGGAUAACGACGGGAAACUGUCGCUAAUACCGCGUACCAUAGGAUGAGCCCAAGUGGGAUUAGGUAGUUGGUGGGGUAAUGGCCGACCAAGCCGACGAUCUCUAGCUGGUCCGAGAGGAGGACGCACCCCACCGGGACGUGGACAAGGCCCCGAACCCCACGGGAGGCCGGAGGGGGGAAUAUGUGGCAAUGGGGGCAACCUGACGCAGCCAUGCCGCGUGAAUGAAGAAGGCCUUCGGGUUGUAAAGUUCUUUCGGUGACGAGGCGUUAAUCACAGAAGAAGCACCGGCUAACUCCGUGCCAGCAGCCGCGGUAAUUC
This 405-nucleotide ribosomal RNA is filed under the name uncultured bacterium. RNAcentral's name for it is "partial 16S ribosomal RNA". It matches the Rfam family "Bacterial small subunit ribosomal RNA", at positions 29 to 526 of the family's 1533-position model. The record is from RNAcentral.